AUGACUCUCGGCAACGGAUAUCUCGGCUCUUGCAUCGAUGAAGAACGUAGCGAAAUGCGAUACUUGGUGUGAAUUGCAGAAUCCCGUGAACCAUCGAGUCUUUGAACGCAAGUUGCGCCCGAAGCCAUUAGGCCGAGGGCACGCCUGCCUGGGUGUCA
RNAcentral lists this ribosomal RNA (158 nucleotides) under Glycine max (soybean). Its description in RNAcentral is "5.8S ribosomal RNA". It matches the Rfam family "5.8S ribosomal RNA". From Rfam's summary of the family: 5.8S ribosomal RNA (5.8S rRNA) is a component of the large subunit of the eukaryotic ribosome. It is transcribed by RNA polymerase I as part of the 45S precursor that also contains 18S and 28S rRNA. The record is from RNAcentral. Lineage: Eukaryota; Viridiplantae; Streptophyta; Magnoliopsida; Fabales; Fabaceae.